RNAcentral lists this small nuclear RNA (108 nucleotides) under Neotoma lepida (desert woodrat). The record is from RNAcentral. Lineage: Eukaryota; Metazoa; Chordata; Mammalia; Rodentia; Cricetidae.
GUGGCUCGCUUCAGCAGCACAUGUUCUGAAAUUGGAAUGACACAGAGAAGAUUAGCACGGCCUCAUUGCAAGGAUGGUAUGCAAAUUUGGAGAGUACUCUAUAUUUUU